UACAGAGGUCUCAAGCGUUGUUCGGAUUCAUUGGGCGUAAAGGGUGCGUAGGCGGCGCGGUAAGUCGGGUGUGAAAUCUCGGAGCUUAACUCCGAAACUGCAUUCGAUACUGGCGUGCUUGAGGACUGGAGAGGAGACUGGAAUUCAUGGUGUAGCAGUGAAAUGCGUAGAGAUCAUGAGGAAGACCAGUGGCGAAGGCGGGUCUCUGGACAGUUCCUGACACUGAGACACGAAGGCCAGGGGAGCGAACAGG
This 253-nucleotide ribosomal RNA is filed under the name uncultured bacterium. RNAcentral describes it as "partial 16S ribosomal RNA". It matches the Rfam family "Bacterial small subunit ribosomal RNA", at positions 524 to 776 of the family's 1533-position model. The record is from RNAcentral.